This is a long non-coding RNA of Apodemus sylvaticus (European woodmouse), 561 nucleotides long. RefSeq lists it as uncharacterized. The record is from RefSeq and is a predicted model, not a curated record. The transcript has 3 exons. Lineage: Eukaryota; Metazoa; Chordata; Mammalia; Rodentia; Muridae.
GAAACCACUACGUCUUUUGAGGAUUGUCUGAAGACUUUCCUAUGUCUAAGGACCAAGGGAGACUGCCUGGCUGGGUACCUGGGCUCUCCAUUAGAAACCGUCCCAGGAGUGGGUCCCCAAGGCAGCCUAAAGGAACCGUGACACUCGCUGAUGUAAGAGAAGCCGUUUAAGCAUUGCCACAUAAAGAAGAAACGCCAGAUCCAGAUGUGAAGUGUACAUCAGGUGAAGACAUGAUAAAGGGAUGAAGACAGCUAAUCAGGAGGCAAUCUGUGAGACUCUCCAGACCCAGAGCUCACCACAGUUCUUGCUGAAGCUACGAGAACACUCGAGCAAUAAUUCACAUUGUCAGGUCAGCAGAAACGGACACGAGGGUCUGAUAUGACCAAGAUUUGCUUAAGGGAUCUUUCUGAGAAUUGAAUAGCUCCGAAGAGGUACGUGCCUUUCCACAGAAAAAAUAUCCCUGAAGAUGUUGAGCACAAGCAGCAAUGAAAAUGGAUCUCGGCAGCAUCUCGUGCCACUGUUACAGAUGCCAUUCCAUUCCAAAGGAGGCAGAUCAACCAC